UUUUGUGUUGUCAAUUUGUUCCUUGAAACAGUUUAAACUUUUUUAGCCAAACAGUUCAGUUGUUAUCGUCAUUCCAAAUUGGGAUGCUGUGUCGUCGGAAUCAGCAGAGAUUUAAAUAAGAAAAAAAUAAAAAAAAAAUAUUUGAAUAACGGUAAAUUUUCGAAAUAACUGAAAAAUAAGAAGUUUGUUAAAUCUUAAAGUGGUUGCGUUAGUUUGUAAGAGUGUGUGCGUGAGUAAAUGCGUGUAUACGAUUUGUUAGCCAUUCUUUUAAUGCCGUCACAGUUGCUGCGUGUGCUUUUGUUUUUGUUGUUGUUGUUGCUGUACAGGAUAACAAUGUUUUAUCGUAUUUUAUGCGAGAUGCUCGUAUAAUUAAAAUUGCGCGCGUUUAUUUCGGACAUCAACACUUAAAGUGGAGCAGCAUCAGCAACAACAAACACAUUAAGUUAAAUGCCUUAAUGCAGCAGAGCUAAAGCUGAAACAAAAAUAACCAUUGGUUUGUGAAGUCAAGGGGAAUAAACACUUAAUGACAGAAAAUUAACAAAUAAGAGAAAUAAAUAAAAAAUUUAUAUAUGUGUAUGUAUUUGUGUUCAUAAUUUUGUUUAAAGAAUUUGUGCAAGCUUCGUUUAAAAUAUGACGAAUAACUUAAUACAUAAAUGUAUUGGAGUAUACAAUAAAUAAAUAAAGUCUAUUAACAAGAUGCUCAAUAUAAAAAGCAGAAUACUAUUAAGUCUGUGAAUUUAAAAUAAACUAAUUAAAAUUUAAAGUUCAACAUUGAAAUCUUGCAUACUGGAUUACACUUUAAAUUUAAGAAAAGUAAGUGAAUUUAAUAAAA
Molecule: long non-coding RNA, 832 nt
Organism: Lucilia cuprina (Australian sheep blowfly)
Lineage: Eukaryota; Metazoa; Arthropoda; Insecta; Diptera; Calliphoridae
Exons: 3
Source: RefSeq, a predicted model, not a curated record